This 250-nucleotide ribosomal RNA is filed under the name uncultured marine eukaryote. RNAcentral describes it as "partial 18S ribosomal RNA". It matches the Rfam family "Eukaryotic small subunit ribosomal RNA", at positions 1210 to 1456 of the family's 1831-position model. The record is from RNAcentral.
GAAACUUACCAGGCCAGGACAAUUAAAGGAUUGACAGAUUGAUAGCUCUCUCUCGAUAAAUUGGGUGGUGGUGCAUGGCCGUUCUUAGUUGGUGGAGUGAUUUGUCUGGUUAAUUCCGAUAACGAACGAGACUCCGACCAAUUAUUGAUGUAGCCGCAUAAAGAUCAACGAUAGCUUAGGCGUGUCAACGAUCGCGGUUGCAAAAAGAUAUGGGAUUAGCUAUAGUAAAUAGCACGAGAUAGAGCAAUAA